This 480-nucleotide long non-coding RNA is filed under the name Sus scrofa (pig). RNAcentral describes it as "lncRNA (ENSSSCG00005030541.1)". Lineage: Eukaryota; Metazoa; Chordata; Mammalia; Artiodactyla; Suidae. The record is from RNAcentral.
ACCCCGGCCCAGCUCGCCGCGGGGCAAGCCGGGCUAGAGAGCUGGAGGACGUUCAGGUCCUAUUGGGAAAGACCGGGGUCCCUAACUCUUUAGAGUGAUCAGCCGUCCCCUCCCCCAGCCCUGCGGGAGAGGCAGCCAAGGUUUAGGGCAACAAACCCCUCCCUGGGCUUGAGGGUCCCUCCAAAGGUUAAGCCAGGGCAGACAUUGAUGUCAAAACCGGUCUGCGUCUCGGGGUGCAGGUGCCUGUACUACUCCCAGAAAGUCGCGCCCCUCCCCCAACCCCCUUGCUGCAGUCGGGAGGACAAAGGUCUAUCGAUGUCCGUACCCUCCCCCAGGGAAGACAGCCGGGGAAGACCUGCCACUGUUGGGUACAGGACCCUAUGUGUUUGCAAGACUGAUGAAUGGACUCUCUUGGCUGUGGGCAGCACCUCCAGGUCCCUUCAGGGAUAUGGGCUCAAGCCACACAAGAGGAAGAAAACC